GCGGUUGUCGUCCAGUCUGGUCUAGGACGUUAGCCCUCCAAGCUAGCAACCCGGGUUCAAAUCCCGGCGACCGCA
Molecule: transfer RNA, 75 nt
Filed under: Nitrososphaerota archaeon
Lineage: Archaea; Thermoproteati; Nitrososphaerota
Also listed under: 1 other name
Description: Thaumarchaeota archaeon tRNA-Gly
Rfam family: tRNA
About the family: Transfer RNA (tRNA) molecules are approximately 80 nucleotides in length. Their secondary structure includes four short double-helical elements and three loops (D, anti-codon, and T loops). Further hydrogen bonds mediate the characteristic L-shaped molecular structure. tRNAs have two regions of fundamental functional importance: the anti-codon, which is responsible for specific mRNA codon recognition, and the 3' end, to which the tRNAs corresponding amino acid is attached (by aminoacyl-tRNA synthetases). tRNAs cope with the degeneracy of the genetic code in two manners: having more than one tRNA (with a specific anti-codon) for a particular amino acid; and 'wobble' base-pairing, i.e. permitting non-standard base-pairing at the 3rd anti-codon position.
Source: RNAcentral